CACACUGUUCAGACCCAUCAGAGUGUGCCCCGUCUUUGUGGGCACUGCCUGUACCAGGGCCACCCUUGACUUCCAGCUCAUCCUUCCUCAUGGAGCAGCUGGCCCUCAUGCCUUGUCACAGGAACAGACUUCUGCUUCAGAGACAAAACCCUGAGUUUUGUCACCUCUGGUGACAAAGUUCCUACUUUUGCUGAUCAUCUGUGACUUCCUGCUGCUGUGACUUUGAGCUGGGGAAGAACAACCAAGACUGUUUUGUCUCCUACUGGAGAUGAGAGCAACUUGUGAGUUUCAAUGGAAAUUUCCAUGAAGAUAUUCAUACUACACCCAUGUGCCUGGUCACUACUCACUGUCUCACCACUGACUGUGCCAGAUCCCAGGGUAUAUGUGCUCAGGCACUGAACUGAAUGCCAGACACAGCUGUGGACCUGCAGUUGCA
Long non-coding RNA from Nothoprocta perdicaria, 436 nucleotides. RefSeq lists it as uncharacterized. Lineage: Eukaryota; Metazoa; Chordata; Aves; Tinamiformes; Tinamidae. The record is from RefSeq and is a predicted model, not a curated record. The transcript has 4 exons.